AUACGUAGGGGGCAAGCGUUAUCCGGAUUUACUGGGCGUAAAGGGCGUGUAGGCGGUCUUGCAAGUCAGAAGUGAAAUUCCUGAGCUCAACUCGGGCGCUGCUUCUGAAACUGCAGGACUUGAGUGCUGGAGGGGAUAGCGGAAUUCCUAGUGGAGCGGUAAAAUGCGCAGAUAUUAGGAAGAACACCGGUGGCGAAGGCGGCUAUCUGGACAGUAACUGACGCUGAUGCACGAAAGCGUGGGGAUCAAACAGGAUUAGAUACCCUGGUAGUCCACGCUGUAAACUAUGAUAACUAUCUUUUAGCGAUACACAGUUAGAGGGUACGAGAAAUCAUUAAGUUAUCCACCUGGGGAUUACGUUCGCAAGAAUGAAACUCAAAUGAAUCGACGGGG
This 393-nucleotide ribosomal RNA is filed under the name uncultured bacterium. RNAcentral's name for it is "partial 16S ribosomal RNA". It matches the Rfam family "Bacterial small subunit ribosomal RNA", at positions 523 to 918 of the family's 1533-position model. The record is from RNAcentral.